UGCUCCAGAAACUAAAGCUAGCCCUCUGUUAAGAACCACACACUGGUUCAUUGUACUGAAUAUAGGUAUAUAUGCUACAAGCUAUCUUGACUCUACAUUUAAUGGAGAGUUACCCAACACUAUUCAUGACAUCAUGUAAACAAAUGCUGAUAAUAGCCAGGUGAGAUGAACCCUCUGUCCCUCAAUUUUUUUCAUAGAUCAUGGACAGAACUGAAGAAUGAAAACUAGUCAGCAAGACCUCAGUGGCUACACUGGCUAAGAAAAAUAAGAAAAUAAGAAAGAAAAUCCCAGAUUCAUUAUUACUGCUCAGGAAGGAAAUGUGUAAAGAGGAAAGGUGAGAAACAAGCAAGCAAACAGGAAAAAUAAAACAAAACAGAAGACUGAAGAAACAUUAGUAUAAAUGAAAAUGAAGGAUCAGGACAAAAGAAGGAAAGACAGGGACA
Long non-coding RNA from Pezoporus occidentalis (night parrot), 443 nucleotides. RefSeq lists it as uncharacterized. The record is from RefSeq and is a predicted model, not a curated record. The transcript is spliced from 3 exons. Lineage: Eukaryota; Metazoa; Chordata; Aves; Psittaciformes; Psittacidae.